GGAAUAUUGGACAAUGGGCGAAAGCCUGAUCCAGCAAUGCCGCGUGAGUGAUGAAGGCCUUAGGGUUGUAAAGCUCUUUUACCCGGGAUGAUAAUGACAGUACCGGGAGAAUAAGCCCCGGCUAACUCCGUGCCAGCAGCCGCGGUAAUACGGAGGGGGCUAGCGUUGUUCGGAAUUACUGGGCGUAAAGCGCACGUAGGCGGCUUUGUAAGUUAGAGGUGAAAGCCCGGGGCUCAACUCCGGAACUGCCUUUAAGACUGCAUCGCUAGAAUUGUGGAGAGGUAAGUGGAAUUCCGAGUGUAGAGGUGAAAUUCGUAGAUAUUCGGAAGAACACCAGUGGCGAAGGCGGCUCACUGGACUCAUAUUGACGCUGAGGUGCGAAAGCGUGGGGAGCAAACAGGA
This 402-nucleotide unclassified non-coding RNA is filed under the name plant metagenome. RNAcentral's name for it is "partial contains 5.8S ribosomal RNA, internal transcribed spacer 2, and large subunit ribosomal RNA". It matches the Rfam family "Bacterial small subunit ribosomal RNA", at positions 358 to 777 of the family's 1533-position model. The record is from RNAcentral.